ACCUGGUUGGCUCAGUCAGUGGAGUGUGCAACUCCUGAUCUCCGGGUUGUGGGUUCGAGCCCCACAUUGGGUG
Molecule: transfer RNA, 73 nt
Filed under: Canis lupus familiaris (dog)
Lineage: Eukaryota; Metazoa; Chordata; Mammalia; Carnivora; Canidae
Also listed under: 1 other name
Rfam family: tRNA
About the family: Transfer RNA (tRNA) molecules are approximately 80 nucleotides in length.
Source: Rfam by way of RNAcentral